AGGCUCACCUCUGUGGAACCAUCCUGCUGCUCUCCCCAGGGCUCCGGGGAUGUGUGUGUUUUCUUGCAGGAGCAUACUUCUUUGAUUAAAGGAAGAGAGAGAGUACUGGGCAGAUAAAGCUGGGAAACGCAAAGAAGCUCCAAGUGAAGAAGCCAAAGCAGAAAAAUCAGGGAAGAUGGGGUGAAGACCAGCAGUGCUUGAGAGAAGAAAAUAAAUUCUCCAUUUCAAAAGAAAAUCCAGGGCGGGACAAUCUUAUUGUGGGUCUUUGUUUCCGCUUGAGCGGAGUUAGGAAUCCACAGGACUGCGGAGCGGGUUGGUAACGCGAGCCGCCUCUGACAGGUACAGAAAUCUGGCUCUUGCACAUUCGUGUCGGGGCCCACGUGUAACAAGGGGGUCUGGCAUCUCCCUCAUGUGCCAGGGGCCCUUCCUGUUUGUUUGUUUUUGUUUUAGAUAAAUGAUCUUGUCAGAUUGUUACUGUGGUAACAAUCAGUGUGACCACAUCUUUUUCAAAGAUUAGAACCGAAGAAAGAUUGAAAAGCAUUAAGCCUGCAGUCCUCACUCACCUUUCUCUGCCUCUGCUCUCUUCUCUGCUGCUUUCUUGUGUCCGAUAAUCAUGUAAAUAGCUUUCUGUGUCCAGCAGAACAAAGAAAAAAGCCUGAUGGAAAAAUGGUUAGGUUUUGCUUUUGAGAAAUGUACAUCCAUGGCUUGAUGGCAGGCUGUGUGCAUCCAUUCACAGCGAGUAGAAUCUAAGGUAGGAUGAGUCAGUUUGAGCUAAUUGUGUCGUUUUAAAUAAGAUUUCCAUAGAUGAACUAAGCACCUGGCCUUGGAACGCAGAAGCCGUUUAAUGUGGUGUUUGCUCUGUGUCGUGUCAGAUUGUGUUUGCUGAUUUCCAGUACCUGCCCUCUGCUGAGGAGCUGGGCUGUCCCCGGUUGUGUCUGCCACGUGCCGCUCCGGCGCUCUCCUGCCAUCCUGGCCGUGAGCUGGGAAUGUAAUCAUGACUAGGCAGGCGGUGCUCAGGCCACGUCUCCCAGGUUGCUGAAUCUGUUCAAAUGAAGGCAGAAAUGGAGACUUUUAUGGUGAAAUAUGCCAAGCGUUCAGUGUUGCUGCAACUUCACAAAAUUGCGUGGCUGUUUCCUG
Molecule: long non-coding RNA, 1137 nt
Filed under: Piliocolobus tephrosceles (Ugandan red Colobus)
Lineage: Eukaryota; Metazoa; Chordata; Mammalia; Primates; Cercopithecidae
Description: lncRNA (ENSPTEG00000026284.1)
Source: RNAcentral